AUUGAACGCUGGCGGCAGGCCUAACACAUGCAAGUCGAGCGGAUGAAGGGAGCUUGCUCCUGGCUUCAGCGGCGGACGGGUGAGUAAGGCCUAGGAAUCUGCCUGGUAGUGGGGGAUAAGGUCCGUAAACGGGCGCUAAUACCGCAUACGUCCAGAGGGAGAACGGGAUGGAUCUUCAGAGCUCGCGGUAUCAGAUGAGCCUGGGACGGAUUAGCUAGUUGGUGGGGUAAAGGCUUACCAAGGCGACGAUCCGUAACUGGUCUGAGAGGAUGAUCAGUCACACUGGAACUGAGACACGGUCCAGACUCCUACGGGAGGCAGCAGUAGGGAAUCUUCCACAAUGGGCGAAAGCCUGAUGGAGCCACGCCGCGUGUGUGAUGAAGGUCUUCGGAUCGUAAAGCUCUGUUAGUUGGGAGGAACGGAUGUGAGUGAAUACCUGGCUGUCUUGACGGUACCAACAGAGUAAGCACCGGCUAACUACGUG
This 484-nucleotide ribosomal RNA is filed under the name uncultured bacterium. RNAcentral's name for it is "partial 16S ribosomal RNA". It matches the Rfam family "Bacterial small subunit ribosomal RNA", at positions 30 to 507 of the family's 1533-position model. The record is from RNAcentral.